GUAGGUGGGCAAGCGUUGUCCGGAAUUAUUGGGCGUAAAGCGCGCGCAGGGCGGUCCUUUAAGUCUGAUGUGAAAGCCCACGGCUCAACCGUGGAGGGUCAUUGGAAACUGGGGGACUUGAGUACAGAAGAGGAAAGCGGAAUUCCAAGUGUAGCGGUGAAAUGCGUAGAGAUUUGGAGGAACACCAGUGGCGAAGGCGGCUUUCUGGUCUGUAACUGACGCUGAGGCGCGAAAGCGUGGGGAGCAAACAGGACUAGAUACCCUGGUAGUCCACGCCGUAAACGAUGAGUGCUAAGUGUUAGGGGGUUUCCGCCCCUUAGUGCUGCAGCUAACGCAUUAAGCACUCCGCCUGGGGAGUACGGCCGCAAGGCUG
RNAcentral lists this ribosomal RNA (373 nucleotides) under uncultured organism. RNAcentral describes it as "partial 16S ribosomal RNA". It matches the Rfam family "Bacterial small subunit ribosomal RNA", at positions 526 to 896 of the family's 1533-position model. The record is from RNAcentral.